Long non-coding RNA from Lycium barbarum (goji berry), 500 nucleotides. RefSeq lists it as uncharacterized. Lineage: Eukaryota; Viridiplantae; Streptophyta; Magnoliopsida; Solanales; Solanaceae. The transcript is spliced from 4 exons. The record is from RefSeq and is a predicted model, not a curated record.
AACAACCAAAACCUAAUUACAUUAAAACUUCCACCCCCACCAUACCUCUACCCUGCCGCCGACACUCCACCCCCGCCACACCCCUACCCCGGCGCCGACGCUCCAUCCCCACCACACCCCUCCCCGCCACUGACGCCCCAUCCCCACCACUGCGUGUCCUCCGUCGCCGCCGUUGCUAUCCGCCGCCACUAAAGGACAAGAACAUUACAAUAGAUUAAGGCCACUGAGCUACCGAGGAGCAGAUGUUUUUGUCCUAGCAUUCUUCUUGGUUAGUCGUGCGAGCUAUAAGAACAUACGUAAAAAGCAUUAUGCUCCUGCAAUUCCGGUGGUAUUAGCUGGCACAAAACUUGUUUCGUUGACAAGGAAAGAAAAGUUAAAAAAACGAAGAAGCUGAUCCUGCAUAUCCAAACUGCAACACUAUCACUGCCAAAUAUGGUAUUCCUUCCUUCACUAACUUCAAUAACCUUGUUGGCAUGCUUCUUUUUAAUUUGUAUACUAAU